Molecule: ribosomal RNA, 253 nt
Filed under: uncultured Eubacteriales bacterium
Lineage: Bacteria; Bacillati; Bacillota; Clostridia; Eubacteriales
Description: uncultured Clostridiales bacterium partial 16S ribosomal RNA
Rfam family: Bacterial small subunit ribosomal RNA
Source: RNAcentral
UACGGAGGAUGCGAGCGUUAUCCGGAUUUACUGGGUGUAAAGGGAGCGUAGGCGGCUUAGUAAGUCAGAAGUGAAAGCCCGCAGCUCAACUGCGGGACUGCUUUUGAAACUGCCAAGCUAGAGUGUCGGAGAGGUAAGUGGAAUUCCUAGUGUAGCGGUAAAAUGCGUAGAUAUAUGGAAGAACACCAGUGGCGAAGGCGGCCGCCUGGCCUGUUGCUGACGCUGAGGCACGAAAGCGUGGGGAGCAAAUAGG